GGUCUGGUAAGUUAGGCAUCCGGAGGUUCUCUCUGAAGGGAAGGAAAAUAGUUUCUCUUCAAAUAGCCUAGAUUGUAUCUAAAAUUUUUUUAUUAAUCUAUAUGAAUAAAGAUCAAAUCCUUACUUGAUUAAUAGCAGAAUGAGAGAUCAAAUCUCUAAAAAUCUGAAACAAUCUUUCUCGAAGGCCUAGAUGUGCAGACCCUCUACUUCGCAUAUACGCC
This 221-nucleotide long non-coding RNA is filed under the name Elaeis guineensis (African oil palm). RNAcentral describes it as "long non-coding RNA (EGUI_LNC023103)". The record is from RNAcentral. Lineage: Eukaryota; Viridiplantae; Streptophyta; Magnoliopsida; Arecales; Arecaceae.